UCCUGGCUCAGGACGAACGCUGGCGGCGUGCCUAAUACAUGCAAGUCGAGCGGACUUGAUGGAGUGCUUGCACUCCUGAGAGUUAGCGGCGGACGGGUGAGUAACACGUAGGUAACCUGCCCAUAAGACUGGGAUAACCCACGGAAACGUGAGCUAAUACCAGAUAGGCAUUUUCCUCGCAUGAGGGAGAUGAGAAAGGCGGAGCAAUCUGCCACUUAUGGAUGGACCUGCGGCGCAUUAGCUAGUUGGUAAGGUAACGGCUUACCAAGGCGACGAUGCGUAGCCGACCUGAGAGGGUGAUCGGCCACACUGGGACUGAGACACGGCCCAGACUCCUACGGGAGGCAGCAGUAGGGAAUCUUCCGCAAUGGACGAAAGUCUGACGGAGCAACGCCGCGUGAGUGAUGAAGGUUUUCGGAUCGUAAAGCUCUGUUGCCAGGGAAGAACGCCUAGGAGAGUAACU
This 463-nucleotide ribosomal RNA is filed under the name Paenibacillus alvei. Its description in RNAcentral is "bacterial SSU rRNA". It matches the Rfam family "Bacterial small subunit ribosomal RNA", at positions 17 to 465 of the family's 1533-position model. Lineage: Bacteria; Bacillati; Bacillota; Bacilli; Caryophanales; Paenibacillaceae. The record is from RNAcentral.